RNAcentral lists this ribosomal RNA (823 nucleotides) under uncultured Bacteroidota bacterium. RNAcentral describes it as "bacterial SSU rRNA". It matches the Rfam family "Bacterial small subunit ribosomal RNA", at positions 56 to 872 of the family's 1533-position model. The record is from RNAcentral. Lineage: Bacteria; Pseudomonadati; Bacteroidota.
UGCAAGUCGAGGGGCAGCAUGGAAGAAGCUUGCUUCUUCUGAUGGCGACCGGCGCACGGGUGCGUAACGCGUAUCAAACCUGCCUCAUACUCGGGGAUAGCCUUGCGAAAGUAAGAUUAAUACCCGAUGUUGUUAUAUUGCCGCAUGGUGAUAUAACCAAAGAUUUAUCGGUAUGAGAUGGUGAUGCGUCCGAUUAGGUAGUAGGCGGGGUAACGGCCCACCUAGCCUUCGAUCGGUAGGGGUUCUGAGAGGAAGGUCCCCCACACUGGAACUGAGACACGGUCCAGACUCCUACGGGAGGCAGCAGUGAGGAAUAUUGGUCAAUGGACGCAAGUCUGAACCAGCCAAGUAGCGUGCAGGAUGACGGCCCUCUGGGUUGUAAACUGCUUUUAGUUGGGAAUAAAAAAGAGGACGUGUCCUCUAUUGUAUGUACCUUCAGAAAAAGGACCGGCUAAUUCCGUGCCAGCAGCCGCGGUAAUACGGAAGGUCCAGGCGUUAUCCGGAUUUAUUGGGUUUAAAGGGAGCGUAGGCGGAUUAUUAAGUCAGUGGUGAAAGACGGUGGCUCAACCAUCGUUAGCCAUUGAAACUGGUAGUCUUGAGUGCAGACAGGGAUGCUGGAACUCGUGGUGUAGCGGUGAAAUGCUUAGAUAUCACGAUGAACUCCGAUCGCGAAGGCAGGUGUCCGGGCUGCAACUGACGCUGAGGCUCGAAAGUGUGGGUAUCAAACAGGAUUAGAUACCCUGGUAGUCCACACAGUAAACGAUGUAUACUCGCGGUUUGCGAUAGACAGUAAGCCGCCAAGCGAAAGCAUUAAGUAUACCAC